GACGAACGCUGGCGGCGUGCCUAAUACAUGCAAGUCGAGCGAAGUUUUUCUGGUGCUUGCACUAGAAAAACUUAGCGGCGAACGGGUGAGUAACACGUAAAGAACCUGCCUCAUAGACUGGGACAACUAUUGGAAACGAUAGCUAAUACCGGAUAACAGUAUUUCUCGCAUGAGAGAUAUUUAAAAGUUGGUUAUGCUAACACUAUGAGAUGUCUUUGCGGUGCAUUAGCUAGUUGGUGGGGUAAAGGCCCACCAAGGCGACGAUGCAUAGCCGACCUGAGAGGGUGAUCGGCCACACUGGGACUGAGACACGGCCCAGACUCCUACGGGAGGCAGCAGUAGGGAAUCUUCCGCAAUGGGCGAAAGCCUGACGGAGCAACGCCGCGUGAGUGAAGAAGGAUUUCGGUUCGUAAAGCUCUGUUGUUAGGGAAGAAUGGAUAUGUAGUAACUAUACAUGUAAGAGACGGUACCUAAACAGAAAGCCACGGCUAACUACGUG
Molecule: ribosomal RNA, 499 nt
Filed under: uncultured bacterium
Lineage: Bacteria
Description: partial 16S ribosomal RNA
Rfam family: Bacterial small subunit ribosomal RNA
Source: RNAcentral